Molecule: ribosomal RNA, 492 nt
Filed under: uncultured bacterium
Lineage: Bacteria
Description: partial 16S ribosomal RNA
Rfam family: Bacterial small subunit ribosomal RNA
Source: RNAcentral
AGUGAACGCUGGCGGUAGGCCUAACACAUGCAAGUCGAACGGCAGCACAGUAAGAGCUUGCUCUUACGGGUGGCGAGUGGCGGACGGGUGAGGAAUACAUCGGAAUCUACUUUUUCGUGGGGGAUAACGUAGGGAAACUUACGCUAAUACCGCAUACGACCUACGGGUGAAAGCAGGGGAUCUUCGGACCUUGCGCGAUUGAAUGAGCCGAUGUCGGAUUAGCUAGUUGGCGGGGUAAAGGCCCACCAAGGCGACGAUCCGUAGCUGGUCUGAGAGGAUGAUCAGCCACACUGGAACGGAGACACGGUCCAGACUCCUACGGGAGGCAGCAGUGGGGAAUAUUGGACAAUGGGCGCAAGCCUGAUCCAUCCAUACCGCGUGGGUGAAGAAGGCCUUCGGGUUGUAAAGCCCUUUUGUUGGGAAAGAAAAGCAGCAGGUUAAUACCCCGCUGUUCUGACGGUACCCAAAGAAUAAGCACCGGCUAACUUCGUG